ACGGGUGAGUAUCGCGUAGGGAUCUAUCCACGGGUGGGGGAUAACAUCGGGAAACUGAUGCUAAUACCGCAUGAUACCUGAGGGUCAAAGGCGCAAGUCGCCUGUGGAGGAACCUGCGUUCGAUUAGCUUGUNGGUGGGGUAAAGGCCUACCAAGGCGAUGAUCGAUAGCUGGUCUGAGAGGAUGAUCAGCCACACUGGGACUGAGACACGGCCCAGACUCCUACGGGAGGCAGCAGUGGGGAAUAUUGGACAAUGGGCGAAAGCCUGAUCCAGCAAUGCCGCGUGUGUGAAGAAGGUCUUCGGAUUGUAAAGCACUUUCGACGGGGACGAUGAUGACGGUACCCGUAGAAGAAGCCCCGGCUAACUUCGUGCCAGCAGCCGCGGUAAUACGAAGGGGGCUAGCGUUGCUCGGAAUGACUGGGCGUAAAGGGCGCGUAGGCGGUUUACACAGUCAGAUGUGAAAUUCCAGGGCUUAACCUUGGGGCUGCAUUUGAUACGUGUAGACUAGAGUGUGAGAGAGGGUUGUGGAAUUCCCAGUGUANAGGUGAAAUUCGUANAUAUUGNGAACAACACCGGUGGCGAANGCGGCNNCCUGNCUCAUUANUGACGCUGAGGCGCGAAANCNUGNGGAGCAAACAGGAUUAUAUACCCUGGUAGUCCACGCUGUA
This 669-nucleotide ribosomal RNA is filed under the name Asaia sp. UFLA CHD12.03. Its description in RNAcentral is "bacterial SSU rRNA". It matches the Rfam family "Bacterial small subunit ribosomal RNA", at positions 102 to 804 of the family's 1533-position model. The record is from RNAcentral. Lineage: Bacteria; Pseudomonadati; Pseudomonadota; Alphaproteobacteria; Acetobacterales; Acetobacteraceae.